AAAUUGAAGAGUUUGAUCAUGGCUCAGAUUGAACGCUGGCGGCAGGCCUAACACAUGCAAGUCGAACGGUAACAGGAAGAAGCUUGCUUCUUUGCUGACGAGUGGCGGACGGGUGAGUAAUGUCUGGGAAACUGCCCGAUGGAGGGGGAUAACUACUGGAAACGGUAGCUAAUACCGCAUAACGUCGCAAGACCAAAGAGGGGGACCUUCGGGCCUCUUGCCAUCGGAUGUGCCCAGAUGGGAUUAGCUUGUUGGUGAGGUAACGGCUCACCAAGGCGACGAUCCCUAGCUGGUCUGAGAGGAUGACCAGCCACACUGGAACUGAGACACGGUCCAGACUCCUACGGGAGGCAGCAGUGGGGAAUAUUGCACAAUGGGCGCAAGCCUGAUGCAGCCAUGCCGCGUGUAUGAAGAAGGCCUUCGGGUUGUAAAGUAC
Molecule: ribosomal RNA, 436 nt
Filed under: Escherichia albertii
Lineage: Bacteria; Pseudomonadati; Pseudomonadota; Gammaproteobacteria; Enterobacterales; Enterobacteriaceae
Description: bacterial SSU rRNA
Rfam family: Bacterial small subunit ribosomal RNA
Source: RNAcentral